Molecule: transfer RNA, 76 nt
Filed under: Eubacteriales Family XIII. Incertae Sedis bacterium
Lineage: Bacteria; Bacillati; Bacillota; Clostridia; Peptostreptococcales; Anaerovoracaceae
Description: tRNA-Lys
Rfam family: tRNA
About the family: Transfer RNA (tRNA) molecules are approximately 80 nucleotides in length. Their secondary structure includes four short double-helical elements and three loops (D, anti-codon, and T loops). Further hydrogen bonds mediate the characteristic L-shaped molecular structure. tRNAs have two regions of fundamental functional importance: the anti-codon, which is responsible for specific mRNA codon recognition, and the 3' end, to which the tRNAs corresponding amino acid is attached (by aminoacyl-tRNA synthetases). tRNAs cope with the degeneracy of the genetic code in two manners: having more than one tRNA (with a specific anti-codon) for a particular amino acid; and 'wobble' base-pairing, i.e. permitting non-standard base-pairing at the 3rd anti-codon position.
Source: RNAcentral
GGCCCGGUAGCUCAGUUGGUAGAGCACUUGACUUUUAAUCAAGGUGUCCGGAGUUCGAGACUCCGCCGGGUCACCA